RNAcentral lists this ribosomal RNA (438 nucleotides) under uncultured bacterium. RNAcentral's name for it is "bacterial SSU rRNA". It matches the Rfam family "Bacterial small subunit ribosomal RNA", at positions 8 to 458 of the family's 1533-position model. The record is from RNAcentral.
AGAGUUUGAUCCUGGCUCAGAAUCAACGCUGGCGGCGUGCCUAACACAUGCAAGUCGAACGAGAAAGUGGAGCAAUCCAUGAGUACAGUGGCGCACGGGUGAGUAACACGUGACUAACCUACCCUUGAGUGGGGGAUAACCUAGAGAAAUCUGGGCUAAUACCGCAUAAUACCUUCGGGUCAAAGGAGCAAUUCGCUUAAGGGAAGGGGGUCGCGGCCGAUUAGCUAGUUGGUGAGGUAAUGGCCCACCAAGGCUUAGAUCGGUAGCCGGCCUGAGAGGGCACACGGCCACACUGGCACUGAAACACGGGCCAGACUCCUACGGGAGGCAGCAGUGGGGAAUCUUGCACAAUGGGGGAAACCCUGAUGCAGCGACGCCGCGUGAGCGAUGAAGCCCUUCGGGGUGUAAAGCUCUUUCGGCAGGGAAGAUUAUGACGGU